AGUGAACGCUGGCGGUAGGCCUAACACAUGCAAGUCGAACGGCAGCACAGGAGAGCUUGCUCUCUGGGUGGCGAGUGACGGACGGGUGAGGAAUACAUCGGAAUCUACUUUUUCGUGGGGGAUAACGUAGGGAAACUUACGCUAAUACCGCAUACGACCUACGGGUGAAAGCAGGGGAUCUUCGGACAUUGAGCGAUUGAAUGAGCCGAUGUCGGAUUAGCUAGUUGGCGGGGUAAAGGCCAACCAAGGCGACGAUCCGUAGCUGGUCUGAGAGGAUGAUCAGCCACACUGGAACUGAGACACGGUCCAGACUCCUACGGGAGGCAGCAGUGGGGAAUAUUGGACAAUGGGCGCAAGCCUGAUCCAGCCAUACCGCGUGGGUGAAGAAGGCCUUCGGGUUGUAAAGCCCUUUUGUUGGGAAAGAAAUCCAGCUGGCUAAUACCCGGUUGGGAUGACGGUACCCAAAGAAUAAGCACCGGCUAACUUCGUGCCAGCCGCCGCAGUAA
RNAcentral lists this ribosomal RNA (506 nucleotides) under uncultured bacterium. Its description in RNAcentral is "partial 16S ribosomal RNA". It matches the Rfam family "Bacterial small subunit ribosomal RNA", at positions 29 to 523 of the family's 1533-position model. The record is from RNAcentral.